UGCAAGUCGAGCGGAAACGACACUAACAAUCCUUCGGGUGCGUUAAUGGGCGUCGAGCGGCGGACGGGUGAGUAAUGCCUAGGAAAUUGCCUUGAUGUGGGGGAUAACCAUUGGAAACGAUGGCUAAUACCGCAUAAUGCCUACGGGCCAAAGAGGGGGACCUUCGGGCCUCUCGCGUCAAGAUAUGCCUAGGUGGGAUUAGCUAGUUGGUGAGGUAAUGGCUCACCAAGGCGACGAUCCCUAGCUGGUCUGAGAGGAUGAUCAGCCACACUGGAACUGAGACACGGUCCAGACUCCUACGGGAGGCAGCAGUGGGGAAUAUUGCACAAUGGGCGAAAGCCCGAUGCAGCCAUGCCGCGUGUAUGAAGAAGGCCUUCGGGUUGUAAAGUACUUUCAGUUGUGAGGAAGGGGGUAGUGUUAAUAGCGCUAUCUCUUGACGUUAGCAACAGAAGAAGCACCGGCUAACUCCGUGCCAGCAGCCGCGGUAAUACGGAGGGUGCGAGCGUUAAUCGGAAUUACUGGGCGUAAAGCGCAUGCAGGUGGUUCAUUAAGUCAGAUGUGAAAGCCCGGGGCUCAACCUCGGAACUGCAUUUGAAACUGGUGAACUAGAGUACUGUAGAGGGGGGUAGAAUUUCAGGUGUAGCGGUGAAAUGCGUAGAGAUCUUGAAGGAAUAC
RNAcentral lists this ribosomal RNA (675 nucleotides) under uncultured Vibrio sp. RNAcentral describes it as "bacterial SSU rRNA". It matches the Rfam family "Bacterial small subunit ribosomal RNA", at positions 56 to 709 of the family's 1533-position model. Lineage: Bacteria; Pseudomonadati; Pseudomonadota; Gammaproteobacteria; Vibrionales; Vibrionaceae. The record is from RNAcentral.